CCAGCAGCAGCCAACACACGGCAGCACCCACAGAGUCAACAGCCGUUCCCAUCUCCACCCGACAAACCCAGCAGACCCGAACCGGCCACCAGCUGCUGCACAGCCAUCGCCGCCCAAACGCCAGACCUGCCACCCAAAGCAGAGGAGAAGACGAAACCCACAACAAAUUGACCCGCCGUGUAGUCGAAGAAGGAGAAGGGAGAGAAGCCGAUCUGGACCAAAAAGAAAAAAUUAAAAUCAACUGCUGUUGUGCGUUGUUUCUCCUUGUUGCAGGUGACGGUGACCUUCACCGCCGACGUAGGGAGACAGAGAAGAAGAAGAGGUUCCCGAUCCACCGGUUUCUGCCACCUUCAUCGGCGGCGGCGCGUGGAACCACGCGCCGCCAGUGACGCCACUGUUCUGGCAGCUCCAGAAGUCGGCCUGACACUGUUCCGGGUUGUUUGGUUCAUUUUGUAAUUUUCAAAUUGUUUAAUGUAAUAUUUGUGUAAUUUUGAGUUUUUUUUUAUAAUUUGUACUUUGUGUAAAUGUGGAGGAAAAAGAAAAAAAGAAAAGAAAAGAAAAGAAAAGAAAAAAACAAAUAUUAAUAGAAAAAGAGUUGUGCGUGUUUUGUUUUUUUGUUAUGUAUAUUAUUGAAUAAAAAGAAAAAAAAUGAAUUUAAUUUAUAUGCACAAAUAUCUAAAGGACAGAUAAAAAUCAUGUUGUAUUUUCCAUAAAAAUGUAGAACAUGUAUCUACAUAUAUUUUGGGAACUAAUAACUGAUUUAUCAAAGCCUUAGAAUUGGGCUAAAAUUUUAUUUUUAAAACGCAUCAAGUCCACGAAGCAGCUUACCUCAGGUAGGGUGCGUUAGGGGUGCGAAUACCUUCCCUAACCACAACCAGUCCCUUACCCGCGAAUCUUUGACAAGACCAGUACAUCAGGUUUCCUAGUAGCCCUCAAUAAAUUACUAGGUGGCGACCCCAACGAACCAAGCAAGCAAAACACAUAACAACAGAAAAAUCGCCAGCAGAUGCCGCGCGGAUUUUGACGUGCGACAGAAUGGCGACUCCACUGGGGAAGGUAUUGUUUCUGAUGAUAUUGGACUAAGCUUUGUGUAUUUGAUGUGUUUAUGUUUUGCAUUUUUGUCUUGUUUUAUUUUUGUUUUAUUCAUGCAUUUUGUAGAAUUGUCUCAUGCAUCACAUAUUUUAAUUUUUUUAAAGCACACACAAGCUUCAGGUUAGGAGGGGGACUAGCAGCUUACCUUAUGACUUUUAGUCAAGGUUUAAGUUUGUGUAAACCCCAACUCUUCGUUGAGUGCUUAGACUGGUAAUAGUUGGACAUGUGCCAUCUCAUUGCCUACAAGCCCCCAUAUUGCCUCCACGAGGGCAAUCACUGGGACAACAAGAGACCCUUUUUAGAGACCAAGUAAUAAACCUACCUUUUGUCUCACUUAAAAAAUUAGAACCUGCCUUUAGGAUGUGUGCUCCGUAUAUAUUGUUUUGCAUCAGGGCAAACCCUUCUUGAAGCAUCUUGAACUCAAGACUUUUGGGUGACCCAAUGGCCGUCACUUAGAAAAUUUUCAUUGUAGAGUUUGGGCAAGAAUCAAGAUUCUUGUUUCAUCAUACAAGAGUUACGACCAUAUGUCACCCCUCGAAGGGCGAGUUCAUCAUAUAGUUUACAUGUCCAUACAUUUAUCAUGCAUGUACCGGGUUGAAAGAUAGGUUCUCCCACACAAGUUGUGCUACGCGCGAAUGAAGAAAGAUGAUAGAAGCAAAGAAAGUUGUCGGAGAAAGGCUCAUUGUCAAAAGGAAGUUGAGAGCAUCAGAGGUGAAGUAGCCAGAAUCAGAUAUGCUUGAUCAAGUGUAGAGCAUCAAAGGGAAAGGGAAUGUCUACACAGUCUUCUGUGGGAACACUGCUUGUCCAUGUCUCAUUGAAGUUACAUCUCCAUUUUAGUCCUGAACAACAACAGCAAUGCCUUCAGUCAUCAACUAAGGACAACUUUGGUUCUUGUUCAGUUGCACUGCUAAUUGUUCAUCGCCUCCAUAUCUUUCAAUGACACCAAAUAAUUGCUAGCCUUCUGUGCAUGGUGCAUUAGUCUUCUUUGAAGUUACCCCAACUGUUAGCUCAAUUCCAGUUCAGCGGCACAAGAUGUAAAAAAAAAAACAAAAAAAAAACAAAAAAAAAACCCCGAAAAAAAAACUGAAAAAAAAAACCAUGAUUCGACCCUGAACUUCUACGUUGCAGAGCUCUCUCUGUAGAUAUUUCUUUAUGGAUCUGCAAGUGGGGAAUGCAAGAGGGGAUGUAGUAUUUUCAUAUGCUACAAAAAUUCGCCCCAUCAAUUUCAGAACCGAAACACUGGAGUAGGCAGAAGGGUCACACCUGGUCUGAAAACAUGAGCCGUCAUUAAACUUCAACGCGGCAGAGCUCUCUCUACAAAAAUCCGUUUGUGGCUCUGCAAGUAGGGAAUGCAAGAGGGGAUGCAGUACUUUCAUAUGCUACAAAACUUUGGCUCAUCAGUUUCAGCACUGAAACACUGGAGUAGGCCGAAGAGUCAGACCUAGUCUGAAAACAUGAGCAGUCGUCGAACUUUGACGUGUCAGAGCUCUCUCUACAAAAACCCGUUUGUAGCUCUGCAAGUGGAGAAUGCAAGAGGGGAUGUAGUAGUUUCAGAAAAUGUGAAAAUUUAUGCCACCAGUUUCCGCAUCGAAACACUGUAGUAGGCAGAAAAGCCAGACUUGAGCUAGAAAACAGGAGCAAAUAUAGAACUUCACCGUGGCAGAGCUCUCUCUGCAGAAACCUGUUUGUAGAUCUGCAAGUGGAGAAUCCAAGAAGGGAUGCAGCAGUUUCUGAUCAUCUAUAAUUUUCUCUCAUCGGUGUUAGCUUGAAAAUGCAAAAGAAGGGAAAAGAGACAAACCUCGGCUGAAAAAUAGAAAGAAGAUUGAAACUUCAACAGAGCAGAGCUCCCUCUACAGGUGUCUGUUUGCUGCACCAUCAGUGAGGAAUCAAAGAGGAGACAAAGGAGUUUUAGAUUCAUCAAGUUCUCUUCCAGUUUUGACAAUGUGUGAUUCCACACGUCGGCAGUGGCAAUGCUGCAAGUCUCCGGGUGCUGCCAAGAUUACCUAGCUGUUGGAAGGUUUCCAACAAUCCACAAACGACCACAACAACAGGGGAAGAUUGACAUGAUGUUGUGAAGAUUGUCAAAAGAAUUGAACAAGCUAUAAAGAGAGGAAAGAUUGAAGGUUUUGCCAUGGAUUCCAGAACUAUGAAGAGAGUUGAAUCAGAAGAUGACUCUCAAUUGAGAAACCUCAGUUAUUUUGCCUAGUCAAGUCUCGCUCAAGCAUCAACUACUCCAAUGUCUCUGCCAAAGAUAGUCAUUCCUUUGCCAUGUGGGUUUAUUUACCAGCAUCUGCCAGAUUCCAGACUUUUUCCUGACUCCGACAAAACCCAUGCAACCACCGUUUUCUAGGUGGUAUAAUCCAGACAAGAGAUGUGAUGUCAUGGUGGGGUCCUUAGCCAUUUCAAUUGAAUAAUUGCAAGAAUCGAGUCCGCAAAUUGGUGAGCAAAAGACGAGUGGAGUUUGCGAAGGAGGGUGUCAUUGGCUAAAUUGUCGCUAGAACAUCCUCAGAAUGACGAGUGAUCGGAAUUGCUUGGCAAAACAGAGAUAUUGCCAAAGAGGCUGAUCUAAGAAGGGGUUAAACUGUCAAUCAUUUUUGUUAUGAAUUUUUGCCAUUCUGCAUUUUGUUUCGGGAUCACAUCUCCUCCUUGAACGAAACAUGUCUUUCCUUUGUCUUCCUGUUGUUUUGAAAUCAAGAGAUGCUUCUUUCAAAGGGUAUUUUUACAAAAUAUUUUGAUCAAGCUCCAACAUGCGAUUAAGAUUAAUCAAUCCUGAAGAUUAAAAGUAUUUUGAUUGCAGAAAUAACUUGAUGCUUGAAAAUGACAUGAGGUGACCAAACAAUUUUUGAACUCAUACUUCCUGAAACUGAACCACACAUCAUAUAGCUAGUUUUAGCAGUAUGCAUAAUGACAUGUAGUGGAUUCAAUAGUUAUGGACUCGUGAAUCAUGAUUCUUACAAGUCCAAAUCAUUGCACUGGAUGAGGUCAAAAUUUAUCGAUUCUAACCGACCUUGCUUGAAAUGAGAAAAGGCCAUCUUUGUUAUACUUUCACAUUUCUUGAAAUAUUAUCCCUUGCAGUCCCAUUUUGAGCCUGGUAAAGUAUUUUCUUUCAAAAAGAAACCCUGACUAGGAUCACACCCUACAUUGGGGAAAAAUGAGAGAUAUUUUGAAGACACUGAUUGGACUAAUGGAUAAAAGAAAGGCUUAGAACAAAAGUCAAAUGAUUGAGAAAGGGCUAGAAGAAUAAAAGCCAUAGAUUGAGGGCCAUCCAAGAAAACUUUGAGGAAGGCUGUGAGAAAGCAAAAAAAAAAAGAAAAGAAAAAAAAGAGAUUGAAAAAAGAAGAAGUUGAAUCUGCCUUCACUUAAAGGCAAGUCAAAGAUAAAGGAAGGAGAAUGCCUAUCAAUUCUAAGAGUGGCAAAAGAGGUUUCAAUUGAAGAAAGACACAACAAAUGCCAAAAGUCAACACUAAAAAAAUCAAGUUUCAUGUUUUUUGGUGUGUCUAGGAUAAAGCCUUUAGUGUCUUUAAAAAAAAAUUUUUAGAUUGAUUAUUCAUCAUAGAAAAAGUUGGAUUUACAUUAUGACCUAUGUUAAGAGAAUUCUGAUCUUUGAGAUUAACAAGGUUAUAUGUCACUUUCUCCACAAUGACAACAAGAAAGAGAGUUGAUGAAUAGUUGAUGUUGAUCCUAAGUCUUUGAAAUCCUCAAACACUUUUUGAGCUUGUGAAAUUCCUUUCUUUCAUAGCCAUGAACCAUAGCUUGCAUUAUGUGCUUUUAAAAGCCCUUUUUAAUCAAGUAAGCAAUCUGAACCGAUAAAUGGCGAUCUCAAAACUUGAAGAGUUUUCCAUAAGAGUCAUAGCUUCAUGGAUUAAGCUAAUGGUUAUUAUGCAUGCUGAUAAAAUUGGUGUUAAAAAAAAAAAACAAUCUUUCUUGAUAAGUCCUCAAGUUUUGACUUGUGUCUUUUGUUUUUUGAAAUUCACAGAAGGUCACCUCAUCAUAGACCAUCAAAAGAUAUACCCGAAAUCAGAGUCUAAAAUGGAUACAAAGAACCAUGAAAAAAAAAACCAUUUUAGUCUUACAAUGGGUCAAUUUCUGUUUUCAAAAUACAUGACAAUCAAAGGACUGUAUAUUUCGAAUAACGUGUGUUGGAUCUUUGACCGAAGAAACUUGAUUUUCAAAAACUGACAUCUCUCUGAUUUCAUUUCAACAAUUAGACUUGAAUUGACAUGAUCUUUGAAAUAUGAGAGUUGAUUCCAGAACAAGAAAGAUUGUUAAACAACAAGAACAUCGACCGAAUUUGCAAAAUCCUUGACAAGAAUGACAUCAACACUUCUUGACACUCCUUGAAAAGUUGACCACCUGGAGGCAAUACAGUGGAUCAUGGGUAGGAAAACAAGCAGUAUUUAGAUCAGCUGGGGGCAAUUAAAGAUGAUCAAAUGAUGAAUCAAUGCACUAAGGACAAUAGUGUUUAAAGAAAGCUAAUCAGCAGGACAAACAUUCAGAUCAUUACUGGGGGCAAUGUUGUUCAAAGAUAGUCCAUGAUCUAGUGAACCCCGUCAACAAUCGGGAAAGCAAAGAUACACUUCAAGGAAAUCUUUUGAAACAUGGCUAUCGACCGAUGUGGGCAUACAGUUGCAUUCGAACGAAUAUGAAAAGAUGCACACCACCAAGAUUGAUUGCGGAACAAUGUUGUACUUGAAGGAUAAUGUCAUAUUAUCAUCUCCAACUUGGCUAUGACUUUUGAACGAUGUUAUCGCAUAGUUGUGAAUAUUGGAAGGAUGCACUCACCAAGACUGACUGUGGGACCAUAUGUUUUGGAGCUCAAUGCGCACUUCACCGUAUGAAUAUGGGUGAUAACAUGAACAUCAUUGAUGAUGUCGAGACAUUUCUUUUCACUAUCUGAUUUGACAAGCUGAGAGAAAUCCAUGAGAAAGAACAUUGAGCAUACAACGAUGAGUCUUUCACUGCAAGCUAUGAGAUGCAUGUCUGGACGAUUGGAUAAUUUCCAUGAAGACUGGUGAUAACAUUACUUGAAGAGUAUUGUUUCAGCUUGAGGCAAGUUUAUGACUGAUGGACAAUCAUGAUGGGUGUUGGCAUGAUGCACACAACCAAUCAGAGGAUAAUUCUUAGAAGAAUCCAGGAGAGAAAAUCCUUCACGAUGAAUCAAGCAACACCACACUUGGGGGCAGAGUCAAGCUUGAUAAACCACAAGAGCAGUAACCGUUGAAGACAGCCUAGAUUGGGCACUGCACUUACAACUGAGUGGAUGGCUAGCACAUGAAUGAGUCAGUACAUGGGAAGGACAAAUAAAGCUUUGGAAUGCAAACAAAGGCACCCUGUGAUGAUGGAACAUCGAAGAGAGGGGACCUAUAUUUCACAUCAGGUAAGGAUGCAUGCAUGUCAUCUAACCUCAAAGCAUUGCACAUACUUAUGAUUUGUUACAGAAAGAUCCUCAAUGAAGUCCAGCAAGAUUGUGGACAAAGAAAGAAUCAUUGAGUUGAUAACAGAGAAUCAUGGUUGUGACCUUGAAACGGGAAGAAGAUGAGAUAAACCUUACUGUUAGGAAAAUCUCAAAGAAAUGAAAAGAUCAACCUUGCAAUCAGGAAGCAUCGAGUUUUCAAACCCUGCGAUCAAGAAUUAUCAAGAAGCACCAAGUUUUCUGGCCCUUCUUCUAUCAUCCCUUCAGGACUUCGCCAGGUAAGUCCCAUUUCUCACACUUGUCACAUCACAUCUUUCAUUUGGGUAGGUCACCCAUAACAAUGAGACCACUUCAUAUUUUUUCUAUCCUCCACCUGGGUAGGUCACCCAUAACAAUGAGACCACUUCAUAUUUGUUCUAUCUUCCAUCUGGGUAGGUCACCCAUUAUAACGCGACCACUUCACAUUUUUUCUAUCUUCCAUCUGGGUAGGUCACCCAUAACAAUGAGACCACUUCACAUUUUUUCUAUCUUCCACCUGGGUAGGUCACCCAUAACAAUGAGACCACUUCACAUUUUUCUAUCUUCCAUCUGGGUAGGUCACCCAUUACAAUGAGACCACUUCAUAUUUUUUCUAUCCUCCACCUGGGUAGGUCACCCAUAAUAAUGAGACCACUUCAUAUUUGUUCUAUCUUCCAUCUGGGUAGGUCACCCAUUAUAACGCGACCACUUCACAUUUUUUCUAUCUUCCACCUGGGUAGGUCACCCAUUAUAACGCGACCACUUCACAUUUUUUCUAUCUUCCACCUGGGUAGGUCACCCAUUAUAAUGAGACCGCACUUCACAUUCUUUCCAUUUGGGUAGGUCACCCAUCAUAAUGAGACCGUUUUCCAUCAUUUUUUCUUGGGUUCGUCACCCAUACAAUGAGACCAUCAUUUUUUUUCUUGGGUUCGUCACCCAUACAAUGAGACCAUCAUUUUUUUUCUUGGGUUAGUCACCCAUACAAUGAGACCAUCAUUUUUCUGGGGUUCGUCACCCAUACAAUGAGACCACCAUUUUUCUGGGGUUCGUCACCCAUACAAUGAGACCACCAUUUUUCUGGGGUUCGUCACCCAUACAAUGAGACCAUCAUUUUUCUUGGGUUCGUCACCCAUACAAUGAGACCAUCAUUUUUCUUGGGUUUGUCACCCAUACAAUGAGACCAUUUGUUCCACAUUCUUUGUUUUGGUUUAAUGAGGUCGCCAGAUGAGAUCUCAUGUAGCUUUGGUUAAAGGGAAUCGCCAGAUGGGAUUUCAGGUUAACCGAGUUACGUCACAUUUUUUAGUUCCAGUUGAAUGAGGUUGCCAGAUGGAAUCUCAUGUAGCUUUGGUUAAAGGGAAUCGCCAGAUGGGAUUUCAGGUUGACCGAGCUACCACACAUUUUUUAGUUCCAGUUGAAUGAGGUUGCCAGAUGGAAUCUCAUGUAGCUUUGGUUAAAGGGAAUCGCCAGAUGGGAUUUCAGGUUGACCGAGCUACCACACAUUUUUUUAAGUUCAAGUUGAAUGAGGUCGCCAGAUGGGAUCUCAUGUAGCUUUGGUUAAAGGGAAUCGCCAGAUGGGAUUUCAGGUUGACCGAGCUACACACAUUCUUUGGUUUUGAAAAAGAAGAUCGCCAGAUGGGAUCUCAAGUUAACGAAAAAAAAGAAAAAGAAACAUUUAGAGUUUUUCUUUACAAAGCUUACUAUGCGAAACAUUGAGGAGUUUUGCUUCGUAAGCAUUGUAAAGAGGGGGCAUCUGUUGCUACCCAAUUUUUGACCCAUGUUUUGAUAAAUUUUUUAAAAAAUCCAAAAAUAGCGAAAAACAUUGAAAAUCCAAAAAAAUACAUUUUUAAUACAUUUGCAUCGUUUUUAGCAUUUUUAGCAUCAUCUUAAAAGAAUUUAAAUUUUCAACGACAUUUGGAACGCGUUCAACUUUUAACGCGUUAUUUUUAAAAUCAUUGAUUUUCUUCAUUGAGUCGACGUUGAUAUUGCUCGUUUUCAAAAAUACAAAAAAAUUAAGAAAAAUCAAAUUUUACAAAAAAGAAAGAAAGUUGAGGGACCAAUUUUGAGAUCCAUGCAACAUUUUACCUAUAAAUACUGGUUCACAACUCAAACAAAAGGGGGGGGGUAAUUUUGAAAUUUGAGGGGAGAGGCAACACAAAAACAGAAACCCUAAAAGCCUAAUUUUUUCUCCCCUCACGGGGGAGGCAGCCGCCAGCCCCCCACCGUUUGAUUUUUCUCUUCUCCCUCACCGAAAGAGAGAGCCGCCAGCCCCCCCUGGAUUAUUUUUCUCUUCUCCCUCAACCGGACAACCGAUCUUCCCCACCCUCACAAAUCAGCCUCACCGAAACCCACUGACCAGACGAUUUUCCUCCUCCCCUUGUCCUCUGCCAAACACAAACCAGGCCACACCCUUCUUCCCCUCACAGGAGCUAAACCUUCACCCAGCCAUACUCUCCCCUCAUCUCACCAGGGCUGUUCCUUCACAGCCGGUUUUCCCUCAGCCACUGUGAACGCCAUCUCCAGCCGCUCCCCCAUUUCAACAGAUCUUCCCUCUCAGCUGCUCCCUUCUCCAGCCGCCAGCUCGCCAGACCAAAAGGAGGGCAGAGCCGUUCCCCUUCGUUCUCCCCUCUCGUCGGCCGCCUCCUCAUCUUCCCCGAUCUCUUCAUCUCCAUCAACACCGAAGCUUCAUCCAGCAGCAGCCAACACACGGCAGCACCCACAGAGUCAACAGCCGUUCCCAUCUCCACCCGACAAACCCAGCAGACCCGAACCGGCCACCAGCUGCUGCACAGCCAUCGCCGCCCAAACGCCAGACCUGCCACCCAAAGCAGAGGAGAAGACGAAACCCACAACAAAUUGACCCGCCGUGUAGUCGAAGAAGGAGAAGGGAGAGAAGCCGAUCUGGACCAAAAAGAAAAAAUUAAAAUCAACUGCUGUUGUGCGUUGUUUCUCCUUGUUGCAGGUGACGGUGACCUUCACCGCCGACGUAGGGAGACAGAGAAGAAGAAGAGGUUCCCGAUCCACCGGUUUCUGCCACCUUCAUCGGCGGCGGCGCGUGGAACCACGCGCCGCCAGUGACGCCACUGUUCUGGCAGCUCCAGAAGUCGGCCUGACACUGUUCCGGGUUGUUUGGUUCAUUUUGUAAUUUUCAAAUUGUUUAAUGUAAUAUUUGUGUAAUUUUGAGUUUUUUUUUAUAAUUUGUACUUUGUGUAAAUGUGGAGGAAAAAGAAAAAAAGAAAAGAAAAGAAAAGAAAAGAAAAAAACAAAUAUUAAUAGAAAAAGAGUUGUGCGUGUUUUGUUUUUUUGUUAUGUAUAUUAUUGAAUAAAAA
RNAcentral lists this long non-coding RNA (9849 nucleotides) under Populus trichocarpa (black cottonwood). RNAcentral's name for it is "long non-coding RNA (PTRI_LNC003881)". Lineage: Eukaryota; Viridiplantae; Streptophyta; Magnoliopsida; Malpighiales; Salicaceae. The record is from RNAcentral.